AGGACGAACGCUGGCGGCGUGCUUAACACAUGCAAGUCGAGCGGAAAGGCCCUUCGGGGUACUCGAGCGGCGAACGGGUGAGUAACACGUGAGCAAUCUGCCCUUAGCUUCGGGAUAGCCCCGGGAAACCGGGAUUAAUACCGAAUACGACCUCGGCCGACAUCGGCUUUGGUGGAAAGUUUUUCGGCUAGGGAUGAACUCGCGGCCUAUCAGCUUGUUGGUGGGGUAAUGGCCUACCAAGGCGACGACGGGUAGCCGGCCUGAGAGGGCGACCGGCCACACUGGGACUGAGACACGGCCCAGACUCCUACGGGAGGCAGCAGUGGGAAUAUGCGCAAUGGGCGAAAGCCUGACGCAGCGACGCCGCGUGGGGGAUGAAGGCCUUCGGGUUGUAAACCCCUUUCAGCAGGGACGAAGCGAGAGUGACGGUACCUGCAGAAGAAGCGCCGGCUAACUACGCGCCAGCAGCCGC
RNAcentral lists this ribosomal RNA (472 nucleotides) under uncultured bacterium. RNAcentral's name for it is "SSU rRNA". It matches the Rfam family "Bacterial small subunit ribosomal RNA", at positions 26 to 518 of the family's 1533-position model. The record is from RNAcentral.